UCCGCUGCAGGAGAUGAGUCACCUUUGUCCAGUUACGCUAACGACGAGUGUGACUACGGCAUGGGGCUGGAGCUGGGCAUAGACCUCUUCUGUUACGGAUCACAGUACUUCUAUAAGGUGAUCAGACAACUGCUGCCCAUGGCCUACAGCCUGCUGAAGAGGGGCCUGUUUGGAGAGAUCCUGGAGGCUCACCUCUCCAGCCGUUCCCACGACAACCUGGACCAACUCACCUCAGCCUGAAGAAUACCACGGGAGAGGAAGACGAGAGAGAGAGAGAGGAAGAGGGAUGGAUUGUUGUCAGCUCUGACCACUGUGUGUUUUUAUGAGUCUUGUGCUGCUGUCGUUUGAUUGGUACCAGAGGCGUCUCUGUUCAUAUGUUGAAUAAAGGAUUAUAUUUCUAAGA
This is a long non-coding RNA of Oncorhynchus gorbuscha (pink salmon), 403 nucleotides long. RefSeq lists it as uncharacterized. The transcript has 2 exons. The record is from RefSeq and is a predicted model, not a curated record. Lineage: Eukaryota; Metazoa; Chordata; Actinopteri; Salmoniformes; Salmonidae.